CAGCAGCCACGGUAAUACGUAGGGUGCAAGCGUUAAUCGGAAUUACUGGGCGUAAAGCGUACGCAGGCGGUUUUGUAAGACAGGCGUGAAAUCCCCGGGCUCAACCUGGGAAUGGCGCUUGUGACUGCAAAGCUAGAGUGCGGCAGAGGGGGAUGGAAUUCCGCGUGUAGCAGUGAAAUGCGUAGAUAUGCGGAGGAACACCGAUGGCGAAGGCAAUCCCCUGGGCCUGCACUGACGCUCAUGCACGAAAGCGUGGGGAGCAAACAGGAUUAGAUACCCGCGUAGUCCCUGUCUCUUAUAC
This 301-nucleotide ribosomal RNA is filed under the name uncultured bacterium. Its description in RNAcentral is "partial 16S ribosomal RNA". It matches the Rfam family "Bacterial small subunit ribosomal RNA", at positions 509 to 807 of the family's 1533-position model. The record is from RNAcentral.